AGAGUUUGAUUAUGGCUCAGGAUGAACGCUAGCGGCAGGCUUAACACAUGCAAGUCGAAGGGCAACGGGGAGAGUGCUUGCACUCUCUGCCGGCGACUGGCGCACGGGUGAGUAACACGUAUGCAACCUGCCCUCCACAGGGGGACAACCUUCCGAAAGGGAGGCUAAUCCCGCGUAUAUCCCUUGGGGGCAUCCUUGGGGGAGGAAAGGAUUACCGGUGGAGGAUGGGCAUGCGGCGCAUUAGGCAGUAGGCGGGGUAACGGCCCACCUAACCGACGAUGCGUAGGGGUUCUGAGAGGAAGGUCCCCCACACUGGUACUGAGACACGGACCAGACUCCUACGGGAGGCAGCAGUGAGGAAUAUUGGUCAAUGGGCGGGAGCCUGAACCAGCCAAGCCGCGUGAAGGAAGAAGGCGCCAAGCGUCGUAAACUUCUUUUGUCGGGGAACAAAGGGCGCCACGUGUGGCGUUGUGAGUGUACCCGAAGAAAAAGCAUCGGCUAACUCCGUGCCAACAGCCGCGGUAAUA
This 527-nucleotide ribosomal RNA is filed under the name uncultured bacterium. Its description in RNAcentral is "bacterial SSU rRNA". It matches the Rfam family "Bacterial small subunit ribosomal RNA", at positions 8 to 525 of the family's 1533-position model. The record is from RNAcentral.